AUGAACGCUGGCGGCGUGCCUAAUACAUGCAAGUCGAGCGAACAGACGAGGAGCUUGCUCCUCUGACGUUAGCGGCGGACGGGUGAGUAACACGUGGAUAACCUACCUAUAAGACUGGGAUAACUUCGGGAAACCGGAGCUAAUACCGGAUAAUAUAUUGAACCGCAUGGUUCAAUAGUGAAAGACGGUUUUGCUGUCACUUAUAGAUGGAUCCGCGCCGCAUUAGCUAGUUGGUAAGGUAACGGCUUACCAAGGCAACGAUGCGUAGCCGACCUGAGAGGGUGAUCGGCCACACUGGAACUGAGACACGGUCCAGACUCCUACGGGAGGCAGCAGUAGGGAAUCUUCCGCAAUGGGCGAAAGCCUGACGGAGCAACGCCACGUGAGUGAUGAAGGUCUUCGGAUCGUAAAACUCUGUUAUUAGGGAAGAACAAAUGUGUAAGUAACUAUGCACGUCUUGACGGUACCUAAUCAGAAAGCCACGGCUAACUACGUG
This 496-nucleotide ribosomal RNA is filed under the name uncultured bacterium. RNAcentral describes it as "partial 16S ribosomal RNA". It matches the Rfam family "Bacterial small subunit ribosomal RNA", at positions 29 to 507 of the family's 1533-position model. The record is from RNAcentral.